This 22-nucleotide unclassified non-coding RNA is filed under the name Mus musculus (house mouse). Its description in RNAcentral is "oocyte_clustered_small_RNA400". Lineage: Eukaryota; Metazoa; Chordata; Mammalia; Rodentia; Muridae. The record is from RNAcentral.
GGCGGGAGGCAGGAUGAGCGCA